GCACCGGUGGUUCAGUGGUAGAAUUCUCAUUUUCCAUGCAAGAGACCCAGGUUUGAUUCCCGGCCAAUGUA
Molecule: transfer RNA, 71 nt
Filed under: Loxodonta africana (African savanna elephant)
Lineage: Eukaryota; Metazoa; Chordata; Mammalia; Proboscidea; Elephantidae
Rfam family: tRNA
About the family: Transfer RNA (tRNA) molecules are approximately 80 nucleotides in length.
Source: Rfam by way of RNAcentral